Molecule: ribosomal RNA, 517 nt
Filed under: uncultured fungus
Lineage: Eukaryota; Fungi
Description: SSU rRNA
Rfam family: Eukaryotic small subunit ribosomal RNA
Source: RNAcentral
AUUAGAUAAAAAACCAAUGCCCUUCGGGGCUUUCUGGUGAUUCAUAAUAACUAAACGAAUCGCAUGGCCUUGAGCCGGCGAUGGUUCAUUCAAAUUUCUGCCCUAUCAACUUUCGAUUGUAGGAUAGAGGCCUACAAUGGUUUCAACGGGUAACGGAGAAUUAGGGUUCGGUUCCGGAGAGGGAGCCUGAGAAACGGCUACCACAUCCAAGGAAGGCAGCAGGCGCGCAAAUUACCCAAUCCCGACACGGGGAGGUAGUGACAAUAAAUACUGAUACAGGGCUCUUUUGGGUCUUGUAAUUGGAAUGAGUACAAUUUAAAUCCCUUAACGAGGAACAAUUGGAGGGCAAGUCGGGUGCCAGCAGCCGCGGUAAUUCCAGCUCCAAUAGCGUAUAUUAAAGUUGUUGCAGUUAAAAAGCUCGUAGUUGAACCUUGGGUCUGGCUGGUCGGUCCGCCUCACCGCGUGCACUGAUCCGGCCGGACCUUUCCUCUUGGGGAUCCACAUGCCCUUUACUGGG